CCGAGUUUACAGCUCCCAAACCCCUGUGAACAUACCUAUACGUUGCCUCGGCGGAUCAGCCCGCGCCCCGUAAAACGGGACGGCCCGCCCGAGGACCCUAAACUCUGUUUUUAGUGGAACUUCUGAGUAAAACAAACAAAUAAAUCA
Molecule: unclassified non-coding RNA, 147 nt
Filed under: soil metagenome
Description: partial internal transcribed spacer 1
Source: RNAcentral